GAUGAACGCUGGCGGCGUGCCUAAUACAUGCAAGUCGAGCGAACAGACGAGGAGCUUGCUCCUCUGACGUUAGCGGCGGACGGGUGAGUAACACGUGGAUAACCUACCUAUAAGACUGGGAUAACUUCGGGAAACCGGAGCUAAUACCGGAUAAUAUAUUGAACCGCAUGGUUCAAUAGUGAAAGACGGUUUUGCUGUCACUUAUAGAUGGAUCCGCGCCGCAUUAGCUAGUUGGUAAGGUAACGGCUUACCAAGGCAACGAUGCGUAGCCGACCUGAGAGGGUGAUCGGCCACACUGGAACUGAGACACGGUCCAGACUCCUACGGGAGGCAGCAGUAGGGAAUCUUCCGCAACGGGCGAAAGCCUGACGGAGCAACGCCGCGUGAGUGAUGAAGGUCUUCGGAUCGUAAAACUCUGUUAUUAGGGAAGAACAAAUGUGUAAGUAACUGUGCACGUCUUGACGGUACCUAAUCAGAAAGCCACGGCUAACUACGUG
RNAcentral lists this ribosomal RNA (497 nucleotides) under uncultured bacterium. Its description in RNAcentral is "partial 16S ribosomal RNA". It matches the Rfam family "Bacterial small subunit ribosomal RNA", at positions 28 to 507 of the family's 1533-position model. The record is from RNAcentral.